AGUAAACGUGAAACGUCUGUGUCAGCGCCUCAAUAAUGCCGUGACUGACAUUUUCAUCUGAAGCGGGAGGUCAAACGAGGAUCUGACUGUGGAUGUGGGAUACUGGUUUAAAGGAAGCACCAAUCGUAAAGGUUACCUGACAGAAUUCUGUGAGCUCCAUGGAAGCGAGUAUUUGGAAAUACUUAUGCACGUUUCCAUUCG
Molecule: long non-coding RNA, 201 nt
Organism: Gymnodraco acuticeps
Lineage: Eukaryota; Metazoa; Chordata; Actinopteri; Perciformes; Bathydraconidae
Exons: 3
Source: RefSeq, a predicted model, not a curated record